GAGUUUGAUCGUGGCUCAGGUUGAACGCUGGCGGCAUGCCUUACACAUGCAAGUCGAACGGCAGCACGGGAGCUUGCUCCUGGUGGCGAGUGACGAACGGGUGAGUAAUGCAUCGGAACGUAUCCUGGAGUGGGGGAUAACGUAGCGAAAGUUACGCUAAUACCGCAUAUUCUGUGAGCAGGAAAGCGGGGGACCUUCGGGCCUCGCGCUCUUGGAGCGGCCGAUGUCGGAUUAGCUAGUUGGUGAGGUAAAGGCUCACCAAGGCGACGAUCCGUAGCAGGUCUGAGAGGAUGAUCUGCCACACUGGAACUGAGACACGGUCCAGACUCCUACGGGAGGCAGCAGUGGGGAAUUUUGGACAAUGGGGGCAACCCUGAUCCAGCCAUGCCGCGUGAGUGAAGAAGGCC
Molecule: ribosomal RNA, 407 nt
Filed under: bacterium enrichment culture clone ALO1_GLFRUDD03GVPUE
Lineage: Bacteria
Description: bacterial SSU rRNA
Rfam family: Bacterial small subunit ribosomal RNA
Source: RNAcentral